UACGUAGGGUGCAAGCGUUAAUCGGAAUUACUGGGCGUAAAGCGUGCGCAGGCGGUUUUGUAAGACUGUCGUGAAAUCCCCGGGCUUAACCUGGGAAUGGCCUAUGUGACUGGCAGGCUAGAGGAUGGCAGAGGGAGGCGGAAUUCCACGUGUAGCAGUGAAAUGCGUAGAGAUGUGGAGGAACACCGAUGGCGUAGGCAGCCUCCUGGGCCAAUUCUGACGCUCAGGCACGAAAGCGUGGGGAUCAAACAGG
RNAcentral lists this ribosomal RNA (253 nucleotides) under uncultured bacterium. Its description in RNAcentral is "partial 16S ribosomal RNA". It matches the Rfam family "Bacterial small subunit ribosomal RNA", at positions 524 to 776 of the family's 1533-position model. The record is from RNAcentral.